This 81-nucleotide transfer RNA is filed under the name Paramuricea clavata. It matches the Rfam family "tRNA". From Rfam's summary of the family: Transfer RNA (tRNA) molecules are approximately 80 nucleotides in length. Their secondary structure includes four short double-helical elements and three loops (D, anti-codon, and T loops). Lineage: Eukaryota; Metazoa; Cnidaria; Anthozoa; Malacalcyonacea; Plexauridae. The record is from Rfam by way of RNAcentral.
GGUAGCGUGGCCGAGUGGUCUAAGGCGGUGGUUUUAGGCACCAGUCAUUUCGAUGACGUGGUUCGAAUUCCACCGCUGCCA